CCUACGGGUGGCAGCAGUGAGGAAUAUUGGUCAAUGGGCGGGAGCCUGAACCAGCGAAGUCGCGUGAGUGAGUACUGCCCUAUGUGUUGUAAACCUCUUUUGUCGGGGAGCAAAAGCUGGACGUGCCCGGCUGUGAGAGUACCCGAAGCAAAAGCAUCGGCUAACUCGGUGCCAGCAGCGGCGGUAAUACGUAGGAUGAGAGGGUUUUCCGGAUGUAUGUGGGUUAAAGUGUGAGCAGGGGGAUUUUUAAGUCAGCGGGAAACUCGGGGGGCUAAAGCCCAUACAUCCGUUGAAACUGGGGAUCUAGAGUGUGCGAGAGGUAUGCGGAAUGCGUGGUGUAGCGGUGAAAUGCGUAGAUAUCACGAAGAACCCCGGUGGCGAAGGCAGCAUACUGGUGCACAACUGACGCUCAGGCACGAAAGCGUGGGUAUCGAACAGGAUUAGAUACCCCUGUAGUC
RNAcentral lists this ribosomal RNA (458 nucleotides) under uncultured bacterium. RNAcentral's name for it is "partial 16S ribosomal RNA". It matches the Rfam family "Bacterial small subunit ribosomal RNA", at positions 338 to 795 of the family's 1533-position model. The record is from RNAcentral.